UUUAAAAGACCUAGCAAUAGGUAUGCUUAGGGAGGAGCUUGCGUCACAUUAGUUAGUUGGUGGGGUAAAGGCCUACCAAGACUAUGAUGUGUAGCCGGGCUGAGAGGUUGAACGGCCACAUUUGGACUGAGACACGGCCCAAACUCCUACGGGAGGCAGCAGUAGGGAAUUUUCGGCAAUGGAGGAAACUCUGACCGAGCAACGCCGCGUGAACGAUGAAGUAUUUCGGUACGUAAAGUUCUUUUAUUAGGGAAGAAUAAAUGAUGGAAAAAUCAUUCUGACGGUACCUAAUGAAUAAGCCCCGGCUAACUAUGUGCCAGCAGCCGCGGUAAUACAUAGGGGGCAAGCGUUAUCCGGAAUUAUUGGGCGUAAAGGGUGCGUAGGCGGUUAAAUAAGUUUAUGGUCUAAGUGCAAUGCUCAACAUUGUGAUGCUAUAAAAACUGUUUAGCUAGAGUAAGAUAGAGGCAAGUGGAAUUCCAUGUGUAGUGGUAAAAUGCGUAAAUAUAUGGAGGAACACCAGUAGCGAAGGCGGCUUGCUGGGUCUUUACUGACGCUGAGGCACGAAAGCGUGGGGAGCAAACAGGAUUAGAUACCCUGGUAGUCCACGCCGUAAACGAUGAGUACUAAACGUUGGGUAAAACCAG
This 644-nucleotide ribosomal RNA is filed under the name Banana stunt phytoplasma. RNAcentral's name for it is "bacterial SSU rRNA". It matches the Rfam family "Bacterial small subunit ribosomal RNA", at positions 200 to 836 of the family's 1533-position model. Lineage: Bacteria; Bacillati; Mycoplasmatota; Mollicutes; Acholeplasmatales; Acholeplasmataceae. The record is from RNAcentral.